RNAcentral lists this transfer RNA (74 nucleotides) under Planctomycetaceae bacterium. RNAcentral's name for it is "tRNA-His". It matches the Rfam family "tRNA". Rfam says of the family: Transfer RNA (tRNA) molecules are approximately 80 nucleotides in length. Their secondary structure includes four short double-helical elements and three loops (D, anti-codon, and T loops). Further hydrogen bonds mediate the characteristic L-shaped molecular structure. tRNAs have two regions of fundamental functional importance: the anti-codon, which is responsible for specific mRNA codon recognition, and the 3' end, to which the tRNAs corresponding amino acid is attached (by aminoacyl-tRNA synthetases). tRNAs cope with the degeneracy of the genetic code in two manners: having more than one tRNA (with a specific anti-codon) for a particular amino acid; and 'wobble' base-pairing, i.e. permitting non-standard base-pairing at the 3rd anti-codon position. Lineage: Bacteria; Pseudomonadati; Planctomycetota; Planctomycetia; Planctomycetales; Planctomycetaceae. RNAcentral also lists the same sequence under 1 other name. The record is from RNAcentral.
GUGGGUAUAGCUCAGUUGGUUAGAGCGCCGGAUUGUGAUUCCGGAGGUCGCGGGUUCGACCCCCGUUACUCACC